CAGGUCUGUGAUGCCCUUAGAUGUUCUGGGCCGCACGCGCGCUACACUGACAGAGCCAGCGAGUCUACCACCUUUGCCGGAAGGCAUGGGUAAUCUUGUGAAACUCUGUCGUGAUGGGGAUAGAACAUUGCAAUUAUUGUUCUUCAACGAGGAAUACCUAGUAAGCGUGAUUCAUCAGAUCGCGUUGAUUACGUCCCUGCCCUUUGUACACACCGC
Molecule: ribosomal RNA, 216 nt
Filed under: Rhodotorula sp. biofilm-D
Lineage: Eukaryota; Fungi; Basidiomycota; Microbotryomycetes; Sporidiobolales; Sporidiobolaceae
Description: partial 18S ribosomal RNA
Rfam family: Eukaryotic small subunit ribosomal RNA
Source: RNAcentral